CCGGCGGGACGACCCGCCGCGAGCCUCCAUCCAUGGGGACGACCCCG
Molecule: non-coding RNA, 47 nt
Filed under: Desulfovibrionaceae bacterium
Lineage: Bacteria; Pseudomonadati; Thermodesulfobacteriota; Desulfovibrionia; Desulfovibrionales; Desulfovibrionaceae
Description: Guanidine-II sequence
Rfam family: Guanidine-II riboswitch aptamer (mini-ykkC)
About the family: Simpler in structure and has fewer highly conserved nucleotide positions than the ykkC-yxkD leader. Despite this each of its two stem-loop structures directly bind free guanidine. Therefore, mini-ykkC RNA motif represents a distinct class of guanidine-sensing RNAs.
Source: RNAcentral